RNAcentral lists this ribosomal RNA (312 nucleotides) under Staphylococcus pseudintermedius. RNAcentral's name for it is "partial 23S ribosomal RNA". It matches the Rfam family "Bacterial large subunit ribosomal RNA", at positions 2612 to 2925 of the family's 2925-position model. Lineage: Bacteria; Bacillati; Bacillota; Bacilli; Caryophanales; Staphylococcaceae. The record is from RNAcentral.
CAGAACGUCGUGAGACAGUUCGGUCCCUAUCCGUCGUGGGCGUAGGAAAUUUGAGAGGAGCUGUCCUUAGUACGAGAGGACCGGGAUGGACAUACCUCUGGUGUACCAGUUGUCGUGCCAACGGCAUAGCUGGGUAGCUAUGUAUGGACGGGAUAAGUGCUGAAAGCAUCUAAGCAUGAAGCCCCCCUCGAGAUGAGAUUUCCCAACUUCGGUUAUAAGAUCCCUCAAAGAUGAUGAGGUGAAUAGGUUCGAGGUGGAAGCGUAGCGAUACGUGGAGCUGACGAAUACUAAUCGAUCGAAGACUUAAUCAAU